RNAcentral lists this long non-coding RNA (845 nucleotides) under Phoenix dactylifera (date palm). RNAcentral's name for it is "long non-coding RNA (PDAC_LNC014755)". The record is from RNAcentral. Lineage: Eukaryota; Viridiplantae; Streptophyta; Magnoliopsida; Arecales; Arecaceae.
GAGUUUCGUGUCAGAUUUAGAUUUUAUUAAAAAGGAAUGGAAGGUGGUCAAAAUGAGAUGCAGUUGGGGAACCAAAAAAGAAGGUUUAAUUCAAAAUAGUGGUAUGACACCAGAUCACUGUUAUCCACUACCAGUCAUUGUUUUAAGCUCAUCAGGUAACAUCGUGCAAAUUUUGGUUGCAAUCAUCAGCCAAGACGUUGGAAUACUGUUCUGGAUGACCAGAGUCCUUUCAGGAGGGCAUGAGAUUGGAUAGCGAUAGCUGCGGGGCCCGAAGGAAACCAAGCGGUCCUUAACUCUGCAAUGGACACCUACACCUGGUAUUUUAGAAGCCUUCAAUAAUUAAGUCCUCGCAGGUUAACAGAAGGUAGAUAACUUAUCUCCAAAGCACGCUACAUGCAGGGUAUGAGUGGAUGACUUAUCAAAGAUAUUCAAUGCCAUAAAUACUUAGAGCAGUAACAAACCGAGGAUGAUGAACAUAAAGGGGAACCUUUAAGAUAAUUAAUUAGAGACGAGAUAUACGCGUUCACAAGGUUGUUGCAUUUGGUAUGCACCCCCAUUAUCCACAGAAGCACUUCUAUUUCACUCGCUGCAUAUUACCUGGAAUGUUAGACCCAAAACGGCGCAUGGAAAGUCACCUACAAACUACCAAACAGUGAAAAGGAAUCCAUAAGCUAACAGUCAGUUGAUUAGAAUAGAAUUGGCAACGCAAAAGACACCCAUGCAUCGAAAUUCUAAUCACUGCCUCAGAACCAGGAUCACCACAAGACCACCAUUCAAUCAAUGAGCAGUGCUGAUUAUUCUUUCUAGAAAUAUCAACUGCAGUGUUUUUAAAAAGCCGGUCCGGG